CAGUAGCCACGGGAAAACGAGGGGUGCAAGCGUUAUUCGGAUUGAUUGGGUGUAAAGGGUGUGCAGACGGCUUAUUAAGUCACUUGUUAAAUUCUUCGGCCUAACUGAAGGUCUGCAAGUGAUACUGAUGAGCUAGAGGGUGGAAGAGAGAAGUGGAAUUCUCAGAGUAGCGGUAAAAUGCGUAGAUCUCGAGAGGAACACCAAUGGCGAAGGCAGCUUCUUGGUCCAUUCCUGACGUUCAUACACGAAAGCGUGGGGAGCAAACAGGAUUAGAUACCCCCGUAGUCCCUGUCUCUUAUAA
RNAcentral lists this ribosomal RNA (301 nucleotides) under uncultured bacterium. Its description in RNAcentral is "partial 16S ribosomal RNA". It matches the Rfam family "Bacterial small subunit ribosomal RNA", at positions 509 to 809 of the family's 1533-position model. The record is from RNAcentral.